This 26-nucleotide non-coding RNA is filed under the name Homo sapiens (human). The record is from RNAcentral. Lineage: Eukaryota; Metazoa; Chordata; Mammalia; Primates; Hominidae.
UGUUGUCUACUUCUGGUUCUCAGAGC